UCGGUUCAAACUGUUCAUGACUCGUUGGGAGAGUUAUCUAGGACAUGUAUACAUUUUUUGGAAUAUAUUAUAAUAGCUGGGAAAGUGUAUUUGUUAAUAUUUGUUAAUAACUACCCAAACGAUGGGAAUGUUUGUUUGUUAGGAAUUCUAUAUGGAUAUCAAAAUGAUUUCGAUAUUUUAUUUCGGAUUUCUAUCUAUAUACAUACAUAUAUUCUUUCCCUUUAAGUACAAAUUUUUGUUUUUCGGCAGCUCUUCCAGUCCUCUGUCUCCCAGCCCGCCCGUUCAUCUGUCACCCAUUACCGCCUGAGCCUGCUCAAGAAAAAUUGGCAAACAAAAUUUUCAUAAUUUGCAUAAUGCGCCAAGCAAACAAUUGACUGGAUGGGGCUGUGCCGGAAGCGGAAUGAAAAUUGUUCAAGCGAAAAUUAAAAACACCCGAGACAUCCUGCAGUACGCCGUAGAGCAGCUGCCGAGCUGUGUGGGAAAUAAGAACUAUUUAAUUGAACGACCAGGCUAUAAUAGUAAUCCUUUAUGGCAAUCACAAAACACACAACCUUAUAUUGAAGUUUGGGAAUAUAUGUUGGAAUAAUCCCAGAAACCUCACUUGAAGUGCCCGAUCUUUGAUCAUUUCUAAAUACGAGCCACUGCAGUGCCUAUCUGUCUCACGAGUACCCCUAUUGUAUAACGAAUGGGAAACAAAGAACAAAUUAUUGCCCUGAGCCACAGUAACACCAGGACUGGGGACACAGGACAAAAACGGGAGUUACGAGUAUAGGGAGAGCCAUUUGUCACUGUGAAAUUUAUUAAAAUGAUUAUCUC
Molecule: long non-coding RNA, 816 nt
Organism: Drosophila pseudoobscura
Lineage: Eukaryota; Metazoa; Arthropoda; Insecta; Diptera; Drosophilidae
Exons: 3
Source: RefSeq, a predicted model, not a curated record